Molecule: long non-coding RNA, 4842 nt
Filed under: Citrus sinensis (sweet orange)
Lineage: Eukaryota; Viridiplantae; Streptophyta; Magnoliopsida; Sapindales; Rutaceae
Description: long non-coding RNA (CSIN_LNC004312)
Source: RNAcentral
UCUCCAUUUCUCUCUCAAAAUUCUUCAUCUUUCACUCAUUUUCUUGUUAAAAUCAAUCAUCCAAAUCAUUAUUCAUCCAUUACUCCUUCAAUUUUCGUUCUCAAAACUUCAUUUCAUCAACUCUCCACAUAAAACCCAAAAUCAAAAACCUAACUACCCGUUUCUCUCUCUAUAUUUUCAAGCUUCCUUUAGCCCAUUUUUUAUCCAAUCUACAUCAUCUAUUAGCUUCAUUCAUCUCUAAGAUCAAUUUUCUUGGCUCAAACAAAUCCAUUUCACUCAAUUUUUGUAAACCCGAAAUUGAAUCUUUAAGCUUGUUUUUGUUCCAACAAUGGUGGAUGGUAAUAUAUCAUGAGCAAACAAGUUGCCAAGAGAUGUAAGGACAAUUAUGGAGAUAAUACGGAGUUCAUAUCAACACCAUCCAUUAUCUUAAAUCUUCUCUUGGAUAAAUAUAAUCGGUUUAAAAUAAUCCAUUUCACUCAUUAUUUUACAAAACCGAAUUUCUGCUGUACGGCCAAGGCGGAUGUACGUGCUUAAGAAAAAGAGUAAUGAGCUCAAUGAAAUUGUGUUAAAAUUCACAAAUGGUCAAAAGAACUUAGAAAAAUUACUAAGCACUCAAAAAUGUGUGUUUGAUAAAGGAGGACUUGGGUAUAAGCCUUAUUUGAAACAAAAAUAUUAUAAGAAUUAUUUUGUUAAGGAUACCUCCACAAACAAUCAAGUUGUAUGUCAUUAUUGUAAUCAAAACGGUCACAUGAAGCUUGGUUGUCCUAUUAAAAGAAAAGUAUAUUAUGGAGUAAAAUGUGUUUGGGUUCCAAAAGGAACCAUUGCUAACACUCAAGGACCCAAGAAUAUUUGGGUACCAAAAUACACAACUUGAACAAUUUUUUGUAGGUACCACAAUCAAGGAAUGGUGGAGAAGUUCCUUGAUGAAAGCUUGUGAGGAUAAUCAUUUGAGCAUGAUCUAGGAGAAAAAGAUGAGGCAAGAUGAUUUAAUUGUUUUGGUAAUAAUUCUUGCCAUAUUAAUUUUGUUGAAUGAAUUAUGAUAAAUGAAUUUGCGAAAAUAUGCUUGUAUGUUUACAUGAUUGAAUUAUCAUUGUGUUUAACAUUGAGUGUUUUAUCAUGAUGCAAGGUUAUAUAUAAAUGAUGAUAGUUUAUCAACUCAUCAUGAUGGAUUUGUUUGAUGUUAAUGUUUAUGAAGUGUUUAAGCAUGAUAGUUAAGUGGUGUGUUUGAUUUAUUAACUUUUGAAUGCUUAUAUGUUUAAUUAUUGUGAAAAUCCCAAGUUUGCACAAGCUGUAAUGAAUUGGUCAUAACUCCUUCUAGAGAACUCCAAAUCCAGCUCUGUAAAAUUUAUUGGAAAGCUAACUUAAUUAUCUUUCCAACGGUAUAUAGCGUGCAUGUUAAUUCUGGUUCAAUCAAUACAGUUUUUAUUUUGAAGUUGACCUUUCUGCAUUUUCUUAAGUUUUGACUGCUUAGAUGCUUCAUGAUUGUAUGCUUGUUGGAUGGAUUAUUUGUUUGAAUUAAUUAUCUUUUGGAUGUUUAAAAUCAUGAAUCAUGCGUUAAAUUGGCUCUUGAGAUAUUUCAGGAUCACAAAAUGAUCACGGAAUUGAUCGAAACAAGCUGAAAAGCAAGUAGAGUGCAGGUGGACAGCAACCAGGCGGCUAGCCGCUUGGAAAACUGUCCCAAACCCGAGAGCAAGCGGCUAGCCGCUUGGUCACUGGUUGGGAAAUUUUUUUUUGCUUGUUCUUCUUCCUUCGUGAUUUUUCUGCACAUGUUUCUCUUCUCUCACCAAAACCGUGAACAUCCUCUCCAUUUUCACCUCCAUUUUCUUCCUUUUUCAUCCAUUUUCAUGCCCAAAUCAACCAUUCAAACUAAUACCCAUGCAUUUCAUCUUCAUUAAACACUUCUCCAUCAUGAUUUCUUCACUUAUUUUUCAUCAUUUCAUCAUCAUCUCUCACGAGUGAACAGUACCUCACCAUUUCUCUCUCAAAAUUCAUCUUUCACUCAUUUUCUUGUUAAAAUCAAUCAUCCAAAUCAUUAUUCAUCCAUUACUCCUUCAAUUUUCGUUCUCAACACUUCAUUUCAUCAACUCUCCACAUAAAAUCCAAACUCAAAAACCUAACUCUACCCGUUUCUCUCUCUACAUUUUCAAGCUUCCUUUAGCCCAUUUUUGAUCCAAUAGACAUCAUAUAUUAGCUUCAUUCAUCUCUAGCAUCGAUUUUCUUGGCUCGAACAAAUCCAUUUCACUCAAUUUUUGUAAAUCCGAAAUUGGAUCUUUAAGCUUAUUUUUUGUUCCAACAAUGGUGGAUAAGUUGCCAAGAGAUGUAAGGACAAUUAUGGAGAUAAUACGGAGUACAUGUCAACCCACUUUCAGCAUCUACCUCUUCGGAAACGGUUUAUUUUGUUGAUCUUUGUAAUUUGAAGAAUUUAAAAAAAAUUGUGACAAAUCUCUUAGUUAUUUUUUUUUUAAUUGCUAUGUUUUUUUUUAAUAUUUUAGUUAUUAAGGAGCAAUACUAUGAAAAUUUUUAUCCUCGCAAUAUAUAUAGCUUUGCAUAUUGUUUGAUUAAUUUAUGGCAGCAGUUAAGUGCUUCAACUAAAGCAAUAGAAGGCGUAAUGUUGGGUUGGUUAGGGUGGCAUCAAUCUGUGCUUCUAUGUAAAAUACAUCGUUGCCUAGACAACUGCCAACAAUCACUUUUUAUUUACACAGAAGCACUUGCUGCAAAGCUUUUCCAGUACUGCAAGUAUGCUUGGAUCCAAAAAUGACCCAUCUAAUGAGUUCUAAUUAUCAAUAAACAUUAAACAGGCUCCGGCAUAUAUUCCCUAAAUCGUAUAUUAUUUAAUAUUUUAAUCAAGAUUAUAUUUGUACUAGAAGAUUAUGGGAGACAAAGAGAUCCUUGGAUUAGAAGAAAACGAAAUAAUAAUUAACAAACAAAUGCGUUUUGGAAAAAGUGAAUUGUAUAUAUCAUGUCGUCAAGUGUUUCAAAUUUUCAGUUUCAACUAUUUUAAUCACUUUUAUAAUUGAUUAAUCUUGAAUAUUUAAAAAUGAUCAAUAUUGUAUUAUAUAUAUGAGCAGCAGUCAGCACAUGCACUUUCAAUUUUGCAUGCAUGCCAUUAGCAAAAAAAAUGAAGGCAACUUGGGACUGCUGUACCGUACAUCCGCCUUGGCCGUACAGCAGAUGAAUUAUGAUAAAUGAAUUUGCGAAAAUAUGCUUGUAUGUUUACAUGAUUGAAUUAUCAUUGUGUUUAACAUUGAGUGUUUUAUCAUGAUGCAAGGUUAUAUAUAAAUGAUGAUAGUUUAUCAACUCAUCAUGAUGGAUUUGUUUGAUGUUAAUGUUUAUGAAGUGUUUAAGCAUGAUAGUUAAGUGGUGUGUUUGAUUUAUUAACUUUUGAAUGCUUAUAUGUUUAAUUAUUGUGUAAAUCCCAAGUUUGCACAAGCUGUAAUGAAUUGGUCAUAACUCCUUCUAGAGAACUCCAAAUCCAUCUCUGUAAAAUUUAUUGGAAAGCUAACUUAAUUAUCUUUCCAACGGUAUAUAGCUUGCAUGUUAAUUCUGGCUCAAUCAAUACAGUUUUUAUUUCGAAGUUGACCUUUCUGCAUUUUCUUAAGUUUUGAAUGCUUAUAUGCUUCAUGAUUGUAUGCUUGAUGGAUGGAUUAUUUGUUUGAAUUAAUUAUCUUUUGGAUGUUUAAAAUCAUGAAUUGUGCAUUAAAUUGGCUCUUGAGAUGUUUCGGGAUCACAAAAUGAUCACGGAAUUGAUAGAAACAAGCCGGAAAGCAAGUAGAGUGCAGGUGGACAGCAACCAGGCGGCUAGCCGCUUGGAAAACUGUCCCAAACCCGAGAGCAAGCGGCUAGCCGCUUGGUCACUGGUUGGGAAAUUUUUUUUUGCUUGUUCUUCUUCCUUCGUGAUUUUUCUGCACAUGUUUCUCUUCUCUCACCAAAACCGUGAACAUCCUCUCCAUUUUCACCUCCAUUUUCUUCCUUUUUCAUCCAUUUUCAUGCCCAAAUCAACCAUUCAAACUAAUACCCAUGCAUUUCAUCUUCAUUAAACACUUCUCCAUCAUGAUUUCUUCACUUAUUUUUCAUCAUUUCAUCAUCAUCUCUCACGAGUGAACAGUACCUCACCAUUUCUCUCUCAAAAUUCAUCUUUCACUCAUUUUCUUGUUAAAAUCAAUCAUCCAAAUCAUUAUUCAUCCAUUACUCCUUCAAUUUUCGUUCUCAACACUUCAUUUCAUCAACUCUCCACAUAAAAUCCAAACUCAAAAACCUAACUCUACCCGUUUCUCUCUCUACAUUUUCAAGCUUCCUUUAGCCCAUUUUUGAUCCAAUAGACAUCAUAUAUUAGCUUCAUUCAUCUCUAGCAUCGAUUUUCUUGGCUCGAACAAAUCCAUUUCACUCAAUUUUUGUAAAUCCGAAAUUGGAUCUUUAAGCUUAUUUUUUGUUCCAACAAUGGUGGAUAAGUUGCCAAGAGAUGUAAGGACAAUUAUGGAGAUAAUACGGAGUACAUGUCAACCCACUUUCAGCAUCUACCUCUUCGGAAACGGUUUAUUUUGUUGAUCUUUGUAAUUUGAAGAAUUUAAAAAAAAUUGUGACAAAUCUCUUAGUUAUUUUUUUUUUAAUUGCUAUGUUUUUUUUUAAUAUUUUAGUUAUUAAGGAGCAAUACUAUGAAAAUUUUUAUCCUCGCAUAUAAUUGUUACAAGUGUUGGGGGAAUUCAUAUUGAAUUUGAUGAUUGAUGAUUAUAUAUGUGUUGCUUGAUGAAUUAAUGGAGUUGUUGGUUUGUUAUAAUUGUUUAAGCUUAUAUGGAAGUGUUUUUAAUCAUGUUGUGUAUUUGAGGAUUUGAGCAUUUUAAGGGG